GCUGGGUGUGGUGGCUCACACCUGUAAUCCCAGCACUUUGGGAGGCUGAGGCGGGUGGAUCACCUGAGGCCAGGAGUUCGAGACCAGCCUGGCCAAUAUGGUGAAACCCCGUCUCUA
This 117-nucleotide signal recognition particle RNA is filed under the name Nomascus leucogenys (northern white-cheeked gibbon). Its description in RNAcentral is "Metazoan signal recognition particle RNA". It matches the Rfam family "Metazoan signal recognition particle RNA". Rfam says of the family: The signal recognition particle (SRP) is a universally conserved ribonucleoprotein. The record is from Rfam by way of RNAcentral. Lineage: Eukaryota; Metazoa; Chordata; Mammalia; Primates; Hylobatidae.